Molecule: non-coding RNA, 45 nt
Organism: Schistosoma mansoni
Lineage: Eukaryota; Metazoa; Platyhelminthes; Trematoda; Strigeidida; Schistosomatidae
Source: Rfam
AUUUAGCUGAUGUAUCCCAAACAAAACGAAACACACGUCAUGAAU